Molecule: ribosomal RNA, 431 nt
Filed under: uncultured bacterium
Lineage: Bacteria
Description: partial 16S ribosomal RNA
Rfam family: Bacterial small subunit ribosomal RNA
Source: RNAcentral
AACGAACGCUGGCGGCAGGCCUAACACAUGCAAGUCGAGCGCCCUUUCGGGGGAGCGGCGGUCGGGUGGGUAACGCGUGGGAAUCUGCCCUUCUCUACGGCGUAGCCUCGGUAAACUUAGAGUAAUACCGUGUACGCCCUGCGCGGGUAAGAUUUAUCGGGGAAGGAUUAGCCCGCGUUGGAUUAGGUCGUUGGUGGGUUAAUUGCCUACCAAUCCGACGAUCCAUAGCUGGGUUGAGAGGAUGAUCAGCCACACUGGGACUGAGACACGGACCAGACUCCUACGGGAAGCAGCAGUGGGGAAUCGUAGAAAAUGGGGGCAACGCUGAUGGAGCCAUGCCGCGUGAGUGAUGAAGGCCUUAGGGUUGUAAAGCUCGUUCAGCUGGGAAGAUAAUGACGGUACCAGAAGAAGAAGCCCCGGCUAACUCCGUG